CCUACGGGUGGCAGCAGUGGGGGAUAUUGCACAAUGGGGGAAACCCUGAUGCAGCGACGCCGCGUGAGUGAAGAAGUAUUUCGGUAUGUAAAGCUCUAUCAGCAGGGAAGAAAAUGACAGUACCUGACCAAGCCGCCCCGGCUAACUACGUGCCAGCAGCCGCGGUAAUACGUCGGGGGCAAGCGUUAUCCGGAUUUACUGGGUGUAAGGGGAGCGUAGACGGUUAUGUAAGUCUGGAGUGAAAGCCCGGGGCCCAACCCCGGGACUGCUUUGGAUACUGUGUAACUGGAGUGCAGGAGGGGCAGGCGGAAUGCCUGGUGUAGCGGUGAAAUGCGUAGAGAUCAGGAGGAACACCGGCGGCGAAGGCGGCCUGCUGAACUGAAACUGACGUUGAGGCUCGAAAGCGUGGGGAGCAAACAGGAUUAGAUACCCGAGUAGUC
Molecule: ribosomal RNA, 440 nt
Filed under: uncultured bacterium
Lineage: Bacteria
Description: partial 16S ribosomal RNA
Rfam family: Bacterial small subunit ribosomal RNA
Source: RNAcentral